CCCUUAGAUGUUCUGGGCUGCACGCGUGCUACACUGAUAUUGCCAAUAUGUCAUUCUUAUCCGAGAUGGAUUGGGUAAUCAAGUAAUGAAAUUUCAUGCUUGGAAUCGGUAAUUGCAAUUUUAUCGUGAACGAGGAAUUCCUAGUAAGCACUAGUCAUCAGCUAAUGUUGAUUAUGUCCCUGCCCUUUGUACACACCGCCCGUCGCUACUACUGAUUGGGUGUUCAAGUGAGAUGCUUAGACCCUUGUUGCAUGGUUCAUUAUUGUGCUCCGAAAGGAAAAAGUUUCAAGCUUGAGUGUCUAGAGGAAGUAAAAGUCGUAACA
RNAcentral lists this ribosomal RNA (323 nucleotides) under uncultured eukaryote. Its description in RNAcentral is "partial 18S ribosomal RNA". It matches the Rfam family "Eukaryotic small subunit ribosomal RNA", at positions 1470 to 1796 of the family's 1831-position model. The record is from RNAcentral.